Molecule: long non-coding RNA, 2123 nt
Filed under: Sparus aurata (gilthead seabream)
Lineage: Eukaryota; Metazoa; Chordata; Actinopteri; Spariformes; Sparidae
Description: lncRNA (ENSSAUG00010002287.1)
Source: RNAcentral
GUUGAGGAGUACAUGAAGGAAAGAGCAUGUCAAAAAGAAGAGCCAGACAGACACCAAGUGUUCAGAUCCUGACUCAACCUUCUACAGACCAAGAAGCAAGCGAGAGAUCCACUUCAUCCUUCCAACAGACACCAAGUGUUCAGAUCCUGACUCAACCUUCUACAGACCAAGAAGCAAGCGAGAGAUCCACUUCAUCCUUCCAACAGACACCAAGUGUUCAGAUCCUGACUCAACCUUCUACAGACUAAGAAGCAAGCGAGAGAUCCACUUCAUCCUUCCAACAGACACCAAGUGUUCAGAUCCUGACUCAACCUUCUACAGACUAAGAAGCAAGCGAGAGAUCCACUUCAUCCUUCCAACAGACACCAAGUGUUCAGAUCCUGACUCAACCUUCUGCAGACCAAGAAGUGAGCAAGAGAUCCACUUCAUCCUUCCAACAGACACCAAGUGUUCAGAUCCUGACUCAACUUUCUGCAGACCAAGAAGUGAGCAUGAGAUCCACUUCAUCCUUCCAACAGACACCAAGUGUUCAGAUCCUGACUCAACCUUCUGUAGACCAAGAAGCGAGCGAGAGAUCCACUUCAUCCUUCCAACAGACACCAAGUGUUCAGAUCCUGACUCAACUUUCUGCAGACCAAGAAGUGAGCAUGAGAUCCACUUCAUCCUUCCAACAGACACCAAGUGUUCAGAUCCUGACUCAACCUUCUGUAGACCAAGAAGCGAGCGAGAGAUCCACUUCAUCCUUCCAACAGACAUCAAGCGUUCAGAUCCUUACUCAACUUUCUGCAGACCAAGAUAUGAGCAAGAGAUCCACUUCAUCUUUCCAACAGGUCAGCCAGACCACUGGAGGUGUCUCCUUCCACCAGACAGCUACUGCAAGGUUGAACAUCCCUUGGUCGAUGAUGGUGGAUUUCAUGAUGGAAACUCUGCAAGCUUAAGUGACCAGAUCUCUACUGAUGAAUCUUCAGAUUGUACAGAUUAUGAAGAUAUUGACUAUGUUCCAGACUCAGGUGGCAAUUCCUCAGACACAAGUCUCUGUAGUAACGAACUGAGAAUCACAGAAUCUCUUGCUCCCAAAAAUUGUUCAAGGACAUGCCAGUGGGGAUAGCUACAGUACACAGUGGGGAGAGAAACCUACAAGUUUAAGUUUGUCACUGAGAAGCAGCAGUCAUAGCACUUCAGUGAUGAGUUGCAGUAACAAUUCCCUGGAGGCAAGAUUUCUGUAUUUUCUGUUCUGUUUCAAUUGACAUAUUUUGCCAGCAAUUAAAAAAGAAAAAAUGGCAGAAAGUGUUCCAUGUCUUUAUUCACAUGAACAUGUACUACAAAAUUUAUAAAUGCAAUACAAUAAGACUUAAAAAGCAGACUGACCACAUUUUUUAGCUAUGUCUCAUUUUAAGUCUCUACAAAGCUUAGUUUUACUGUGUUGUAUUAACAUGUGAAUAUCUGACAUUUCUGUCAGAGGUUACCUGACUGAUGAGCAUGACUAUUGUACACCUGUGUCUAUUAUAUAGGUAUUUCAAACAUAUCCAACAGGAGCCAAGGUAAUAAUACAGACCCUACCCUUUCCUAGUCUUUAUAAGUCAUGUAUACAUGAAAAUUUUGUGUGUAUCCAUGGGUUUCACAAUUCACCUAAACAUGAAAUAUCAGUGUGUGAUUUUAUUGCACCUAUAAGUCACAUAAACCUGACAGUGUCCUCACAAGUAGCAUUAAAAUCAGGUUUGACCAAAAGUUUGCCCUAGCCAAAAUCUCAACAGAUGGGCAUAUUCCUGGAAGCAUGGGGAAGAAACACUUUGAUUCCCCAGCCUCUAGGACCUUGGGAAAGGCAUGUUCCCAUUUUUCACAUUUUUGUCUUAUGUACCGAUAUGUCCCGAAAACACGUAUGUGUGUGUGUGUGUGUGUGUGUGUGUUUCUCCAUGCUCCUUCACACCUUGCUUUCAUUAGUAAUUUGGUUGUUAACAGAGCUUAUGUUCUGAUGUGUGUGUGUGUGUGUGUGUGUGUGUGUGGAGUGAGUUCGUGAAGUUUUUUACCUACAUGUAAAUCAGUUUGUGGUUGCAUAACAAAUCUAAAAUGAUACAGUAUUUUCAGUUUCAGGUUGAGUUUCGUCAGUAUCAGAUUUCUACCUU